Xyrichtys novacula (pearly razorfish) is the source of this 963-nucleotide non-coding RNA. The record is from the annotation of a GenBank genome assembly. Lineage: Eukaryota; Metazoa; Chordata; Actinopteri; Labriformes; Labridae.
UGAUGAACAGCUACAAGGAUUACGGGGAGUGGAAAUAUCAGGAGGAAAAGGACGUUCGCCCUUAUUCUGAAGUAGAGACACAUUGAUUUACCAUCAGCUGACAGCAAAAGUAAGAAUUCAACUAUUCCAUAGCUAUUAGAAAUGACUGAAAGUGUUGAAUUAUACAACAGCGAUGGUUAAGGUGACUGAGGCGGUUUUCCAGAUUUGCCAACAAGCUUUGAUACACAGUUCUAUAAAGUUUCUCAGCCAUCAGCAGUCAGCACUGUCAGGUACUGUUUCCAAUUUCAUGUGACUUUAUCUUCAGGAACAGCAGGUCUAUUGGGAGAGAAGUUAGAAAUUGGACAACAGCCAUUUCAAACCCUCAAGUUUCUUCAGUGUAACUUAGAGAUGCUGGAGUAAACACACUGAUUUCCACACAACCGAAACCACUGAAAAGCAUAAUGAUAAGUGUUCCCAAAGUAAACUCAAAUACAGCCCUACGCCGCUCAAAACUGUGAAAGGGAACAACAAUUCAAUGCUGAAACUGAAACCUCUGACACCGCCCACAUUUUGAAAGGAGUGGCACAAACAGGUCAACGUGUGAAGGCAUCUCCACGGAAAUGGUUAUCUAAAAUGCCUGCCCUACUAAGCACAGUGUGUUAGGAAAUUAUGCUAAUUUUGGAGAUUUGUUGAACUUUGAUUUACACCAAGAGCAAACUAUGCAAAAAGAAAACUUCAAAUGUUAGAAACUUUGAGUACUUUGAGUAUGGAGACAACAAGAAGUAUGCUUUCUUUCUUUUAUAACAUCUUAUUGUAGGUGCAGUCUUUCAAAGUGGAGCAGUCAUCCUUGGUGGAGGGACGGCCAAGGCUGCAACUUUAUGUACAGCUUAUGUUGUAUAAAUUCAACCUUACUUUGUGCUGCUUCCUUUAUAUACAUCUGUAUCACAGUACAGCCUGUUUCUGUUUACCUCUGUUCCAGAUCUG